RNAcentral lists this transfer RNA (90 nucleotides) under Deltaproteobacteria bacterium. RNAcentral describes it as "tRNA-Ser". It matches the Rfam family "tRNA". From Rfam's summary of the family: Transfer RNA (tRNA) molecules are approximately 80 nucleotides in length. The record is from RNAcentral. Lineage: Bacteria; Pseudomonadati; Myxococcota; Myxococcia.
GGAGAGGUGUCCGAGUGGCCGAAGGAGCACGCCUGGAAAGCGUGUAUACCAGAAAGGGUUUCGAGGGUUCGAAUCCCUCCCUCUCCGCCA